GGAUCUCUUGGUUCUGGCAUCGAUGAAGAACGCAGCGAAAUGCGAUAAGUAGUGUGAAUUGCAGAAUUCAGUGAAUCAUCGAAUCUUUGAACGCACAUUGCGCCCCUUGGUAUUCCAUGGGGCAUGCCUGUUCGAGCGUCAUUUCACCACUCAAGCCUCGCUUGGUAUUGGGCAACGCGGUCCGCCGCGUGCCUUAAAUCGACCGGCUGGGUCUUCUGUCCCCUAAGCGUUGUGGAAACUAUUCGCUAAAGGGUGUUCGGGAGGCUACGCCGUAAAACAACCCCAUUUCUAAGGUUGACCUCGGAUCAGGUAGGGAUACCCGCUGAACUUAAGCAUAUCACUAAGCGGAGGA
This 352-nucleotide ribosomal RNA is filed under the name uncultured fungus. RNAcentral's name for it is "eukaryotic LSU rRNA". The stretch from base 1 to 141 matches the Rfam family "5.8S ribosomal RNA". The record is from RNAcentral. Lineage: Eukaryota; Fungi.